Odobenus rosmarus divergens (Pacific walrus) is the source of this 509-nucleotide non-coding RNA. NCBI's taxonomy places the organism in Eukaryota, Metazoa, Chordata, Mammalia, Carnivora, Odobenidae. The record is from the annotation of a RefSeq genome assembly.
AUGGCCUGGACCCCUCUCUUCCUCCACCUCCUCGCUCACUGCACAGGCUCCGUGGUCUCCCAUGUGCUGAAUCAACGCGCUUGCAUUUCAGUGGCUCUGGGACAAUCAGGAUCACCCGUGGGGGAAACAGCAUUGGAAGUAAACAUGCUUAUUGGUACCAGCAGAAGCCGGGCCAGGCCCCCGUGCUGAUCAUCUUCUACAGCAACAGAUGGCCCUCAGGGAUCCCCAACCGAUACUCGGACUCCAGCUCGGGGAACACGGCCACCCUGACCAUCAGCGGGGCCCGGGCCGAGGGCGAGGCUGACUAUUACUGUCUGGCGGGGGCCAGCAGUGCUGAUGCUCACGAUUUCCUGCACAUGCGCUUCUCCAUCUCAGAGUCUGCUGCCAGGAACCCAGUGCAGGAAGGCCGGCAUCCCCAACAGGGUUUUCGGGGACUUGAGGAGGCCACUGUGUACCCACAAAGCUGGGGUUUCUCCCCCAGAUCACCAAUGUGCUUGUCUAAUUCCUAG